AUUACCGAGUUUACAACUCCCAAACCCCUGUGAACAUACCAAUUGUUGCCUCGGCGGAUCAGCCCGCUCCCGGUAAAACGGGACGGCCCGCCAGAGGACCCCUAAACUCUGUUUCUAUAUGUAACUUCUGAGUAAAACCAUAAAUAAAUCAAAACUUUCAACAACGGAUCUCUUGGUUCUGGCAUCGAUGAAGAACGCAGCAAAAUGCGAUAAGUAAUGUGAAUUGCAGAAUUCAGUGAAUCAUCGAAUCUUUGAACGCACAUUGCGCCCGCCAGUAUUCUGGCGGGCAUGCCUGUUCGAGCGUCAUUUCAACCCUCAAGCCCCCGGGUUUGGUGUUGGGGAUCGGCGAGCCCUUGCGGCAAGCCGGCCCCGAAAUCUAGUGGCGGUCUCGCUGCAGCUUCCAUUGCGUAGUAGUAAAACCCUCGCAACUGGUACGCGGCGCGGCCAAGCCGUUAAACCCCCAACUUCUGAAUGUUGACCUCGGAUCAGGUAGGAAUACCCGCUGAACUUAAGCAUAUCAAUAAGCCGGAGGAA
Molecule: ribosomal RNA, 534 nt
Filed under: Fusarium verticillioides
Lineage: Eukaryota; Fungi; Ascomycota; Sordariomycetes; Hypocreales; Nectriaceae
Description: eukaryotic LSU rRNA
Rfam family: 5.8S ribosomal RNA (bases 153-306)
Source: RNAcentral